Molecule: transfer RNA, 76 nt
Filed under: Laccaria bicolor S238N-H82
Lineage: Eukaryota; Fungi; Basidiomycota; Agaricomycetes; Agaricales; Hydnangiaceae
Description: tRNA-Phe (AAA) (tRNA-Phe-AAA-1-1)
Rfam family: tRNA
About the family: Transfer RNA (tRNA) molecules are approximately 80 nucleotides in length. Their secondary structure includes four short double-helical elements and three loops (D, anti-codon, and T loops).
Source: RNAcentral
GGGGACAUAAGCUCAGCUGGGAGAGCAGCAGACUAAAAUUCUGAAGGUUCCGCGCUCAAUCCGCGAUGCCCCAUCA